This 262-nucleotide small nucleolar RNA is filed under the name Podospora anserina S mat+. Its description in RNAcentral is "Fungal small nucleolar RNA U3". It matches the Rfam family "Fungal small nucleolar RNA U3". Rfam says of the family: Small nucleolar RNAs (snoRNAs) are involved in the processing and modification of rRNA in the nucleolus. There are two main classes of snoRNAs: the box C/D class, and the box H/ACA class. Lineage: Eukaryota; Fungi; Ascomycota; Sordariomycetes; Sordariales; Podosporaceae. The record is from Rfam by way of RNAcentral.
GUCGACAAUACUUCAGAGAAUCAUUUCUAUAGUAGUCGUCCUCUUUUGUAUUCCCCAAAGGAGCCACAGAUCCCACCCGGGUUGAUGAACGAUAUCCUCGACACCUACACAAUGAGGCCCUUUUACUUUCGCUAUUUUUCUGCCUGGCACUCGUGCUGGGAUUUGGAACAGAAAGUGGCGAUGAUCGAUCUAUACGCCGUCUCUCGAGGACUUGCCUUUGGGCGCUUGGAUGGGCUGGGUGUUUGAUGGAAGUCUGACCGGC